AGACCCGAAACCCGGUGAUCUAGCCAUGGGCAGGUUGAAGGUUGGGUAACACUAACUGGAGGACCGAACCGACUAAUGUUGAAAAAUUAGCGGAUGACCUGUGGCUGGGGGUGAAAGGCCAAUCAAACCGGGAGAUAGCUGGUUCUCCCCGAAAGCUAUUUAGGUAGCGCCUCGUGAAUUCAUCUCCGGGGGUAGAGCACUGUUUCGGCUAGGGGGCCAUCCCGGCUUACCAACCCGAUGCAAACUGCGAAUACCGGAGAAUGUUAUCACGGGAGACACACGGCGGGUGCUAACGUCCGUCGUGAAGAGGGAAACAACCCAGACCGCCAGCUAAGGUCCCAAAGUCAUGGUUAAGUGGGAAACGAUGUGGGAAGGCCCAGACAGCCAGGAUGUUGGCUUAGAAGCAGCCAUCAUUUAAAGAAAGCGUAAUAGCUCACUGGUCGAGUCGGCCUGCGCGGAAGAUGUAACGGGGCUAAACCAUGCACCGAAGCUGCGGCAGCGAACGUAUCACCCAAGACAACUUUACGGAGUUGGCGAUUGACGGAGCGAAGCGACGUCAAAGCGUUCAUUAAAGUCGAGUUGGCUUAGGGAUACGUUCGUUGGGUAGGGGAGCGUUCUGUAAGCCUGUGAAGGUGUGUCGUGAGGCAUGCUGGAGGUAUCAGAAGUGCGAAUGCUGACAUAAGUAACGAUAAAGCGGGUGAAAAGCCCGCUCGCCGGAAGACCAAGGGUUCCUGUCCAACGUUAAUCGGGGCAGGGUGAGUCGACCCCUAAGGCGAGGCCGAAAGGC
Molecule: ribosomal RNA, 787 nt
Filed under: Salmonella enterica
Lineage: Bacteria; Pseudomonadati; Pseudomonadota; Gammaproteobacteria; Enterobacterales; Enterobacteriaceae
Description: partial 23S ribosomal RNA
Rfam family: Bacterial large subunit ribosomal RNA
Source: RNAcentral